Molecule: ribosomal RNA, 463 nt
Filed under: uncultured bacterium
Lineage: Bacteria
Description: partial 16S ribosomal RNA
Rfam family: Bacterial small subunit ribosomal RNA
Source: RNAcentral
GACGAACGCUGGCGGCGUGCUUAACACAUGCAAGUCGAGCGGAAAGGCCUUUUCGGAGGUUCUCGAGUGUCGAACGGGUGAGUAACACGUGGGUGAUCUUCCCUUCACUCUGGGAUAAGCCUGGGAAACUGGGUCUAAUACCGGUUAGGACCGCACUUUUGUGCGUGUUGUUGAAAGUUUUUUCGGUGUAUGAUGAGCCCGCGGCGUAUCAGCUCGUUGGUGGGGUAAUGGACUGCCAAGUCGGCGACGGGUAGCCCGACUGAGAGGUUGAUCGGCCACAUUGAGACUGAGGGGAGGCCCAGACAGGGACGGGUGGCAGAAGUGGGGAAGAUUGCACAAGGGGCGCAGGCCGGAUGCAGAGACGCCGCGGGGGGUAGGACGGUCUUAGGGUGGAAGAAUACAUGCGCCAGGGACGAAGCGUUUUGUGACGGUACCUGGAGAAGAAGCAACGGCUAACUACGUG